CAUGGGAUAGAAUCCUUCCUCGCCUCUUCGUGGUUUCUUGUGGUUUGCCUGCAAAUGUUGGCAUUCUGUGGAUGGUAGACACAUCCCUCCCAUUUCUGCCUCUGGCGUGGCACGGUGCCCUCUCCUGCAUGUCUGUGUCUCCACAGGGCUAUGUCCCCCCUGAGUGUCAACUCUCUCCUCUUCUCAUGAGGACACCAAUCACACUGGAUGAAGAGUCCACCCCCUCCUAUAAGACCUCAUCUUCAUCUAACUAAUCACAUCUGCAACGACCUUAUUUCCAGAACUUAAAUAGCCAUGAUGUUUCUUGAUGGCCAUGGCCCCUGUGCCCAGCGAUGUGUGUGGGCACCAUACUCAGAGCCCUGCGCAGAUAUUCCCAAGGUAUCAAAAACAAAUGAGAGAAGCCUUAUUCCUACAUCAGCCAAGAAUGGGUGUGGACGUGGACAUUCUGGAAGGGAGACGCUGAUGAGUUAAGAAUGUCUA
Molecule: long non-coding RNA, 480 nt
Organism: Piliocolobus tephrosceles (Ugandan red Colobus)
Lineage: Eukaryota; Metazoa; Chordata; Mammalia; Primates; Cercopithecidae
Exons: 3
Source: RefSeq, a predicted model, not a curated record